Molecule: transfer RNA, 70 nt
Filed under: Marmota monax (woodchuck)
Lineage: Eukaryota; Metazoa; Chordata; Mammalia; Rodentia; Sciuridae
Description: tRNA.Ala
Source: RNAcentral
GGGGAUGUGGCUCAAGUGGUAACGUGCUCGCCUGGCACGCGGGGUGCUGAGUUCGAUCCUCAGCACCACA